Molecule: long non-coding RNA, 1147 nt
Filed under: Cyanistes caeruleus (blue tit)
Lineage: Eukaryota; Metazoa; Chordata; Aves; Passeriformes; Paridae
Description: lncRNA (ENSCCEG00000005049.1)
Source: RNAcentral
CGUGGUUUGGGGCAGUUGGAUCAGAGGGUUUUUCAAAAGUGUGAAUGAAAGUUACUCCAGGAGGAGUGAAGCAGCCCAAGGGUUAGACCUUGGUACAGAUUCUUGUUUGGAAUAUCAUUCCAGUGUUUUGCUGAACUUGGUGGGAUGUUUCUGACUGCUGUCAAGCCCAGACUGUGUGAUUUGACUUUGACAAGCAACCUUGGGGGAGAGUUUAAUCCCAGAACCCGAAGGUGGAACUGCAACAUCGCAACAACAGCAGGGUUGUGUGGGGAGCUGCGGAUGGGAAAAUGCUGCCUGAGACAGCAGAGCUGCAGGACUGGCACAUUUGGAGUGGUCUGGUCAUUGCUGGACUGACCCUGUCUGCUGGAGCUGGACCUUCUGUGCUCCGUGGGCACCGUGGGGCUGCUCCCCUUGCACAGAGCCCUGGCUGGGCUCCUGUGGCUCCCUGUGGUGCAGCUCUGAAACGCUACCAGUCUUCAUUAGGAGCGAAAAGUGAUGUUUCUGAUUUUUUGGAAAAACCUGCACCAUCAUCCUGUUGCUGACAGUUUCAGGCAAUCCCAGAGCUGGACCAGAGCUGAUUCUGCUCGCACUGGCUGGGGACAGCUUGGCUGGAGAGCAGCAAAAGGAAAAAUGACCCAACAGUUGUGUAAGCUGCUCCCAGAAUUGUGGCAAUUUCCUGCCUGGUUCCAGCAUUAAAUUUACCCAAAUAAUAAUAGGGGUUUAAUGGAUUUCGCUUUUGUUCCUCACCUGUUGAGUCAUGAAAGUUUUAAAAGCUCAUAAAUUAGCAGAAGUGACAAAUGAGUACAGCAGGGUGCCCUGGAUGAAGUGCUGGUGUUUGAAACUGCUGAAGGGGCUUUGCUGUCAGAGCUGAGCCAGACCUCACCUUCAUCCCUGGACUGGUCACACAAACUUAGGGAAGAGAGAGGAGAGAGGCUCUGGCUUCUGAAACUGAUGCUUGAUUUGCCAAAAAAAUAAGGGCUAUGAGAGUCUUAUGAGCUGCUGUGAGUGGUGAUCCAAAAGGGCUUUUUAAAUGUCAGAUUCAAGUGAAACCCUCACCCAUUUCAGCAGCAUUAGGUUCUUCCAGUGCUGAAUCCAGCCUCUCCCCCAGGAAAGGCCACUCCCUGGUAAAAAUGAACUGAAGAGUUCA